UGCUUACCAUGCAGUCGCACGGGCAGCUUCGGCUGUCAGUGGCGGACGGGUGAGUAACGCGUAGGUAUCUAUCCUCGGGUGGGGGACAACCACGGGAAACUGUGGCUAAUACCGCAUGAUGACUGAGGUCCAAAGGCGCAAGUCGCCUGGGGAGGAGCCUGCGUCCGAUUAGCUUGUUGGUGGGGUAAAGGCCUACCAAGGCUCCGAUCGGUAGCUGGUCUGAGAGGAUGAUCAGCCACACUGGGACUGAGACACGGCCCAGACUCCUACGGGAGGCAGCAGUGGG
This 286-nucleotide ribosomal RNA is filed under the name uncultured Acetobacteraceae bacterium. RNAcentral's name for it is "partial 16S ribosomal RNA". It matches the Rfam family "Bacterial small subunit ribosomal RNA", at positions 54 to 354 of the family's 1533-position model. The record is from RNAcentral. Lineage: Bacteria; Pseudomonadati; Pseudomonadota; Alphaproteobacteria; Acetobacterales; Acetobacteraceae.